GAUGCCUGAUCUCAUCAAUCUAGCGGGAGAGACAGGAUAACCUGUCCGAGAGUAUAGCGCCACUAUGACUCCGCCGGAAAAAUUACUUUAAAAAUCGCCAAAAAUUACUUGGAGCAAAGGGCAGUCGGCGGAGCUUCGCCAAGGCUGGCGCAGUCGGUUUUGACCUGUAGCAGAGAACCAAUUCUGGAGAACAGCCUCACUUCUUUGAUUGAAUACUCACAUAAUGCACUGGAACAUGACAUGAGAUUAAGGUUUAAUAAUGAUAGAAUGAAGACCGCAAUAAAAGAGACCUCUACUUAGCUCAGCAAUUCUUACCUUUCUUACCUAUUUGAUGAAGAUGUCUUUUGAAAGGUGUACUGCAAGGAACAAAAUGUUUGUAAAUUCUGCUUUUACCAAGGUAAAGAUCAAAUUUUAUAAAUUUACUUGUUUGUUUAUACAAGGAAAAAUAACUUCAUAUAUUGAAUAUAUUCAAAAGUUUAAGCAUUUAGUUGUAUUGCCCUGUUAAGUUGGCAUAGCAAAUAAAUGCUUUUCUUUUCCUCAUUUUAUUCUUUGUGUUUCCUAACCUAUAGCACUGUGCUGGGCACAGAAUGGACUUCAGUUAAGUUUUUGAUGUAGAAAUGUUUUAUUAUUCUACUUAAAAUCUCCUUAAAAAUAAUUAUGCAUAUUACAUCAAUGUUAUAAUGUUUAAACAUAGAUUUUUUUACAUGCAUUCUUUUUUUCCUGAAAGAAAAUAUUUUUUAUAUUCUUUAGGCACGAAUGUGUGUUUAAAAAAAAUAAAACCUUGGAGUAAA
RNAcentral lists this non-coding RNA (791 nucleotides) under Pan troglodytes (chimpanzee). The record is from RNAcentral. Lineage: Eukaryota; Metazoa; Chordata; Mammalia; Primates; Hominidae.